This is a long non-coding RNA of Homo sapiens (human), 1027 nucleotides long. Ensembl annotates it as long intergenic non-protein coding RNA 2046. NCBI's taxonomy places the organism in Eukaryota, Metazoa, Chordata, Mammalia, Primates, Hominidae. The record is from Ensembl.
GCCCGCGCCUCUCCCGCCACACCUCCCUGCAAGCUGAGGGAGCCGGCUCCUGCCUUGGCCAGGCUAGAAAGGGGCUCCCACAGUGCAGGGGCGGGCUGAAGGGCUCCUCAAGUGCCACCAAAGUGGGAGCCCAGGCAGAGGAGGUGCCGAGAGCGAGCGAGGGCUGCGAGGACUGCCAGCAGCUGUCACCUCUCGUUACCAUCACUCCUAGUGACCAUUUCGGAUAAUCCACCUUGCCUCAUCAAACCAGAAAACAAUUCAAACCUGGCCUCCUUCUAACUGGAAGCCACAUUUUAAGAACUUAUUGUGAAGAACUGGAAAGCCUCCAAUAGAACAGAAGCUAAAAGCAGAAAUUAUAAAAGCUGUUACACCUACUCAGCUCUAUUACAUGUUGGAAAAACUGAACCAGAGAAACAAUUACAUACACUCUUGUCUUCUGGAAAAGCUGAAUUGGGUUUUGGUCUGAAUCAAUAGGAAACAGAAAAAAAAAAGAGAGAGAGACAGAGAGUAAAGAUAAUGGAUCCUUGAGGAAUCACCACACUGUCUUCCACAAUGGUUGAACUAGUUUACAGUCCCACCAACAGUGUAAAAGACCCAUUAUACAGGCUGCCUUUCCAGCUCUCCAAUCAUACUUCCAAGAAAACUGCUCACUCUCAGAACCAAGGUUCAAGUUGUACAUUGGGAUUUGGGUAGAGGUAAGAGGAAACACCCUCAAAUAGAUUUGGAUCAUUCCAGAUGUCCUAUAAAUGAAGUUUGACAUUUGCUCAAGUAUCACCACCUCACUGUAAAAGCAACGAAUCUACCUUCAUUGUGAAAAUUUGGGGACUAGAAUUAAUGAGUACAGUAACCUUAUGGAUAGAACCUUCAGAGUUUUUCAUUAUCUAUGUGAAGAGAUAAUUCUAAAUUAUUUGAGAUCUAGUAUCUGUCAGCUUGGGGACUGGUGUCUAGUCCCAAGACUAGACAAAGGAAACCCUUAUUAGUAUUUUUAUUUUCCAUUUCAAAUAAAAAGGGUAUGUGUUAAAAAAAA